GAGUUUGAUCGUGGCUCAGAUUGAACGCUGGCGGCAUGCCUUACACAUGCAAGUCGAACGGCAGCACGGGAGCUUGCUCCUGGUGGCGAGUGGCGAACGGGUGAGUAAUGCAUCGGAACGUAUCCUGGAGUGGGGGAUAACGUAGCGAAAGUUACGCUAAUACCGCAUAUUCUGUGAGCAGGGAAGCGGGGGACCUUCGGGCCUCGCGCUCUUGGAGCGGCCGAUGUCGGAUUAGCUAGUUGGUGAGGUAAAGGCUCACCAAGGCGACGAUCCGUAGCAGGUCUGAGAGGAUGAUCUGCCACACUGGAACUGAGACACGGUCCAGACUCCUACGGGAGGCAGCAGUGGGGAAUUUUGGACAAUGGGGGCAACCCUGAUCCAGCCAUGCCGCGUGAGUGAAGAAGGCCUCGG
RNAcentral lists this ribosomal RNA (411 nucleotides) under bacterium enrichment culture clone ALO1_GLFRUDD03G3S6L. Its description in RNAcentral is "bacterial SSU rRNA". It matches the Rfam family "Bacterial small subunit ribosomal RNA", at positions 9 to 420 of the family's 1533-position model. The record is from RNAcentral.